GAUGAACGCUGGCGGCGUGCCUAAUACAUGCAAGUCGAGCGAACAGAUGAGGAGCUUGCUCCUCUGACGUGAGCGGCGGACGGGUGAGUAACACGUGGAUAAUCUACCUAUAAGACUGGGAUAACUUCGGGAAACCGGAGCUAAUACCGGAUAAUAUACUGAACCGCAUGGUUCAAUAGUGAAAGACGGUUUUGCUGUCACUUAUAGAUGGAUCCGCGCCGCAUUAGCUAGUUGGUAAGGUAACGGCUUACCAAGGCAACGAUGCGUAGCCGACCUGAGAGGGUGAUCGGCCACACUGGAGCUGAGACACGGUCCAGGCUCCUACGAGAGGCAGCAGUAGGGAAUCUUCCGCAAUGGGCGAAAGCCUGACGGAGCAACGCCGCGUGAGUGAUGAAGGUCUUCGGAUCGUAAAACUCUGUUAUUAGGGGAGAACAAAUGUGUAAGUAACUGUGCACGUCUUGACGGUACCUAAUCAGAAAGCCACGGCUAACUACGUG
This 497-nucleotide ribosomal RNA is filed under the name uncultured bacterium. RNAcentral describes it as "partial 16S ribosomal RNA". It matches the Rfam family "Bacterial small subunit ribosomal RNA", at positions 28 to 507 of the family's 1533-position model. The record is from RNAcentral.